CACGCUUCUCUUUGCAGAGGUCUUUGAAACUAUCACCAGCAGGUCUAGGGCUCUCUCCCCUCCCAGCCUCUUUGUUGGCUCUAUGGCUUGGAAGUACAACGUUUGAGUGAUACGUCCUGUAUCCAAGCUGGUUUUUAGUGGCCAUCCCCACUCCCGUCUUCAAGGUAACUAACACUGACUCUUUCGGCAGGCAGGAUCCCAGCGCCCAUCUCCAGAGGAAUGUGUUCCCAAGACACUGAUCUGCUCCUAAAGCCUGAGCUGGAGCCUUGGCUACAGAUGCAGCUGGAGGAGGUACUGCUUGAGGAACACGCCCUGGAGCAGCAGACAGCUCUGGCCUCCAGUGCCCCGGAGGACAGUGCCUUUGACCAGCAUUGCUCACUGGAGGCUUCUUGAGAACUGGGAACCAAUACUGCUCUCUCCACCACCAAGAAGGAUUAUGGCUUUCUGACCAGGUUUUCUACUUGGAGCAUCUCACAGAUCCUCAUUUCCUACUUUCUCUGCCCAGGGUAGUGUUCCCUCAAUAGAAGAAGAGCAAGGCGGAUGAUGACAUUAUCUUCAAGCAGUAUGUCAUGGAUGCAGGCGUAUUCCACUUUGGAGAGCCUUCAUGUGGCCAUGCCUCUCGGUACUGUCAGGGAGAAAAUAUCACCUGUUCAGAGUUUGUGCAAAUUCUGGACACGUGCGGGUGAAGGAUUUCCCAAACAUGACUGUAAAGGCCCCGACAUGGACCCUACAAAUUUAUACCCGAAAGAGAGAGAAAUAUUGCUAGAAUUGAUGGAAUCAUGGAUUGGCUUGGGUUGGAAGAAACCUCAAAGCCCAUCCAGCUCCACCCCCUGCCAUGACCAGGGACACCUCCCACCGGAUCAGAGGGCUUCAGGCAUCCUGGCCUUGAACCCCUCCAGGGAUGGGGCAGCCGCCACUGCUCUGGGCAACCUGGGCCAGGGCCUCCCCACCCUCGCACGCAAACAUUUCUCCCUAAGCUCUCAUCUCAAUCUCCCCUCUUUCAGCCCUAAAUCACUCCCUCUCAUCCUAUCCCUGCCCUCCCUGAUCAAGAGCCCCUCACCAGCUUUCCUGGAGCCCCUUUCAGUACUGGAAGCUACUCAUAGGUCUCCCUGCUGCCUUAUCCUCUCCAGGCUCAAUAACCCCAACUCUCUCAGCCUGUCUUGGUACAGGAGGUGCUCCAGCCUUCGGAUCACCUCUGUGGCCUCCUCUGGACUCGUUCCAACAACGGAGCAACGGCCGUCGGGACUGGGACUCGGGCAAGGGGGGAUGGGGGGGUAACGGCAAUCGGGACCGGGAC
Molecule: long non-coding RNA, 1297 nt
Organism: Cuculus canorus (common cuckoo)
Lineage: Eukaryota; Metazoa; Chordata; Aves; Cuculiformes; Cuculidae
Exons: 3
Source: RefSeq, a predicted model, not a curated record